AAUGACAAAGAUUUCGAGAUCAGCUAAGUGAUUCACAGUUCUUUGCUUUUCCUAAGUUGGAGCUUUGAGGCUUAAUGCUGCUUUUUGGUCUUACAGAAGGAGAAGAUACAGGAGAAAGUGACUUAACCGAGGAUGUGCAGGAUAUCAGAGGAACGUCUUAGGGGCCUAUGAAGACUAAUUGUAGCUUUCCAACUUGCUAAUCACACUUCUCAACUGAUCGCAAGACCCAAAUCUUCCUGUAUUUGGACAGCUUCUAUCUGAUACUUCAGAAAUGACUCCCAGCAUGCUUGAAAUGCAUUUGGGUUUUGGGAAAGGCCAUGCAGAGGUGUGGCUGAGGAGAGAGACUCUGUGAAACAAGAAAGAUGGUGGGACGGUGAGGCAUAUGAGCCUUUCCUUGGACUCAGCUUUGCAGGUUGAAUACUACUCAGUGAUUUUGAGAAGCGAGCUGACAGAGUACCACCAGAGCAGUUUCACACAGGCUACAGUUUCAGUGACCAAACACAGCAAAAGUGUGCAUAGAUACCAGAUAAGAUUGGGAAGUGGAAACAGCCAGGGGGUGUAUACUUAGAAGGCCAAGCUACCAGCUGUUGUACCCUCUGUGACCUCCAGCUAAGACGGUUGAGAAACAUUACCGAGAGGAAUAUGGAAGAAAUUCCCAAGUACCCAGGAAAAUAGUAGAUGCCUGUUUCUCGGGGAGGAAAACUCCUGGGGCAUACAUGGGGGAGCCCUCGAAAAGUGGCUGAGUGGUCAUCUUUGGACUUCACAGAAUCACAGGGAUGGAAAGGUGGAUCAGCGCUGGGGUGGGGAGCGGGAGGUGCUGUGUUGUGUUGGGGCCAGCAGGUGUUGAUAGGGGAGGAGAGUUCCGCCCCACGGCCCCUGCUUUGUGGGGCUCCGCAGCCCUCGAGUCUCUCUCGUCUCCUGUUUAGCAUCUACAUGAAGUUGCUGGAUGAGGCCACCCCAUGGCCUGGUGAGCUAGCUCAGUGCACCGAUGAUGCCCGGCUUUACCUCUCCACCCCGGCCGCCCAGAUGGAGGUUCUGCCUCAGUGUCUGGAGGCUGUGGGGGUCUGGAUGGGAAACAACAGGCUUCAACUUAACCCUGGCAAGGCUGAGUGGUUUUGGGUAUUAGGGCCCCCUGUUUCUGGGGAUUUCCUGCCUUUAAUUCUGGGUGGGGCUGCACUUCCCCAAAUAGAACCCGUGCACAAUUUGGGGGUCCUCCUGGGCUCAGGGCUCCUGUUCAAGGAAU
Molecule: non-coding RNA, 1243 nt
Organism: Python bivittatus (Burmese python)
Lineage: Eukaryota; Metazoa; Chordata; Lepidosauria; Squamata; Pythonidae
Source: RefSeq, a predicted model, not a curated record